CAUCAGUAGUACAGGUGUGUAUCAAAACUAUGCCAAUUACUGUCACAAGUGACAAAGACACUGACCAAUUCAAAAUGGGGAGCCACAGCAGCCACCUUAAGAACAACCUCCCUAGCCCUGUGCUGUUCCUCUACAAAACUUGCCUGUCCUGUAUGGGAAAGAUCAGCUGAUGCCAAGAAAUUUGACCCAGCUCCUGCCGUCUAAUCACUGGAUCCCUGAAACCCACCAACAAAAACAACCUAACCCUACUUGCUGGUAUUGGCUCACAUUGAGAUGAUAUAAGCCACAAAAGACAAACGCCACCUCGAUCCUCCCUGGAAUAACUCCAAGAAUGAACCACCUCCAGUUGACAUGGGAAUUCCACCUGCGGAAAAACUCCCUGCUGCCUCAGACGCAGCAUGGGCCCAGUGGAAAACACUGAACUGUCUUAGAACAAGAACUGGAUGACCCAGGGUUGCUCUGAACAGAUGGGAUUACAAGACUGGACCAACCUGCUGUGACUGUGGAGAAGCAGACCACCAUGGAGCACUCUCUCAUCUGCCCUCUACUAUCCAGUCCUUGUAACCAAAGAGACCUUGCAGAGUUUAAUGCACAUGCAAAGAUCUGUGUCAAGAAAUAGGAUACUGUAAUGUGACUAACGUCGUUUAUAUGAAACAAGAAGUCUGACACAAGCAGAAAAUGUGAGAAAUGUUUCAUAUUCGAUCUUGGAAUACUCUUAUGCAACAGACUGAACAUAGAAUUCCCUGUGUUCCAUUCAUGCAAGAUCAACCCCUGAAGGACCAAGGUCCAGAGACUGGGAAACAACAUUGGUGUAAAAGCACUGCCUUUAUAACUGUCUGUACUUUUUAUUAUUCCCCAUCAAUGUUUCACAGUGCCCUCUUUAUCAAAGCAUAUAUUGGUAGUUUUGUUGUGUUUUAUUUGUCUGCCAUUUGUUGCCAAACAUGUUGUUUGCAACAUUUUUACCUUGAGUCAUGGCAGUUUUAAUCAUGAACAGCUCCUUGUUACUUAUAAAUGUAAGGAAGAAUGUCUUCAAAUUGUUAUGUUCAUGACCAUAGCCUAUCAAGGUUGAAGCAGGCAUGGUCAGAAUUCCCAUGCAACAUCGAGACAAGAAUCCAUCGUACAUAGUCUAAAUUGUACAAGAGGCCAACAGGAUUGAUGACAAGUUUUCAUUCUUCAUUAAGGCAAAAAUAUUUUGUAAUCAAUAACUUUUUACUGCACUAUGCUUCACAAGUAGUAUGAUUGUAUGCUUGUCAACAGCAAGAAAAUAACAAAGUUUGCCGAUCUUGUCACUAUCAUUCCUGUAGGCUUCUCUGAGGAUGAUCCUUUGUUUUUCAACUUUUCCACAAGCUCACAGCAAAUAAUCUUUUUCUUUCCCUUCUCUUUCCCCAAAGAGAACACAGGAAAAUGAUGAUGGCUGCGAUGAUGUAUGAACUUGUAUGCUCAUGUUUUCUGUGUUUCACAAAUGUGCCCCACAUAGCAUAGGUGGGAUGCAUUCGUGUGAUCAUUCACAGCCACAUCCAGAAGACAAAGUUGACAGUAGCGCAAAGUGAUAAGGUCAUGAGAUGGUAACUUUUUCUGGACAUCGAUUUUGCCAACCUUGAACUAGUAGGUUUUUUUGGUUUUACCCAUUCAUGAAGAUACAGAGUUUUUUUGUAGGGGUAGAGCGGAGUGAAUGGAUGGGUGGUGGGCGUAUUGUAGGCUUGGAAGUUAGUUCCACAGUUUUGUUUUGUCCAUCACAAGUCUUCCCAAGUCUGUCACAAAUCAAGCAACAGGUCAAUUUCAAGGCAGUAUUACAGGUCUGGUCUCAAGUAACAUUGGAUGAACAAUGAUAGAGGAAUGCUUAUUGGAAUUGUGGCUUGGCUUGAGACUGGUUGACUUUGUAAUGGAUUUGAGAGAAGUAUAGUGAUUUGGGGUGGACUCGACCACAACUCUUGACUCUUAAAGAGAAGUCUACUUAUUUGACUAAAAUUAGAGAUCAGAGUUUUACAACACACUGUAAACAACAUUUAUAAAAAGGUUUUUCAAAUUAAAGUCACAUGUAGUUUUAAUGAACGGUUGGUGAAUGGCAUGUCCUUUGUGUCUGUUUUGUAAAAAAUUAUCUGUGAAUAAAAAAAAUAUUUACUCGGUCGUUGAGCAUCAUUUUCUCGGUUUUUCAUUUUAAAUGAAUGACUUUCAUUUUGCCGCAUCUUGUACAUAUAGUAAAAUUGUAUGUUACUCUCUGAAAUCAAGAGAGUUCUGUUUUUUUACUGAUGAGUGUUAAGCUACCUGCUCAUAUCAAUGAAUCUAAAUAUUUGUACAGUACAUGUUCAUUGGAAAGACCAAGAUCAUGGAUGAUAGUAGGCGUGUGAGUAAAUACUUACUCUAGGCUAAUUAGGGUAAGAUGGCAGACACUGCCAAACUUUUAACCCGUCGAAGUGAUCGACAGAUAUAUUAAGAACUGUAAUUUUAGUCACAAAAAUUUGACUUUAAACCUGCAAUAAAAUGGAGAUUCCACAAUACGCGCA
Molecule: long non-coding RNA, 2504 nt
Organism: Acanthaster planci (crown-of-thorns starfish)
Lineage: Eukaryota; Metazoa; Echinodermata; Asteroidea; Valvatida; Acanthasteridae
Source: RefSeq, a predicted model, not a curated record